RNAcentral lists this long non-coding RNA (580 nucleotides) under Gossypium barbadense (sea-island cotton). RNAcentral's name for it is "long non-coding RNA (GBAR_LNC003593)". Lineage: Eukaryota; Viridiplantae; Streptophyta; Magnoliopsida; Malvales; Malvaceae. The record is from RNAcentral.
UGUUGUUUUCGGAGAAAAAUUUCCCCCUAAUUCACAUUAUAGGGAAUCAGUCUCAUCACCAUCACGUGAAAGUAUGCAUGGACAUACCUUUAAGGACCAAUUUCAAUGGCUCAAAAUAUCCAUGCUUUUCGUUCUAUAUAAAGGGUGAGCUCAGCUUGCAACAUUAUUUUCACCCCUCAAAAACCAGUGCCAUAAACAUGAUUAUCCCAAUCUUUUUCAGUUUAUCUUUCCUAGUUUCCUCCACCAACGCAGCCGACUUCUGUGUUGGGGACUUGAAUGGCCCUGUAGGCCCUGCAGGCUAUUCUUGCAAGAAGACAGUCACCGUAAAUGACUUCGUUUACUCCGGCCUCGCUGCCACAGGCAACACUUCGAACCUCAUAAAAGCUGCAGUAACACCAGCCUUUUCGGCUCAAUUCCCGGGUGUUAACGGACUCGGCAUUUCAAUAGCUCGUUUGGAUUUAGCUGUUGGUGGAGUGAUACCUAUGCAUACACACCCUGGGGCUUCUGAACUCAUUCUUGUUAUGCAUGGCACACUUCUUGCCGGUUUCAUGUCCUCAGAUAGCAAAUCAGUUUACUCCAA